AAGGAUAAGGAGUCUUCUAGACUGCUCCCAAAUUCCUCGCCACCGACCCUCCCCUCUCUUUCCCAGUGACAGCCGGAUUUGAAUUGGGCGAGGAUCCAUCCCCACCCGAGCUCAGAGCUCCGGCAACCAUAGCCGCCGGUAGACAGAGCUCGGAGCUCCCGUAGCCAUGGCUGCCCGUAGACAGAGCUCCGCCGUCUGGAUCUCGCGUCACCAGUCUCCUCUGCUGCCUCUCGGUCUUCCCUUGCUCUGGAUCCAGUCCACCAAGAGCCCAGCCUUGCUGCCAAGUCCAUCGCCGCCGCCUGUGUCCUAUGUCCCGACAGCACACGCCGCCACAUCUGUCCCCCUCCUCGACUGCAUCGGCUCUCCUCCAGCACGUGACCUAGGGUUGCAUGCAUGGUGGGAUGCACCAGCCUGCCAGCCUACCCCGCAGCCCCCCCGCUGACAUGGGCCCGAGGCCCAUGAGGUGAGGCAGCUGCCCCUCCUCGCCUGGCGAGGCAGCUGGAGAAGUAGCUGCGGGACCAGAGGCUGCCGUAGGAUGAGAUACUGUGGUGCUGCAGUGUCUAGUGGUUGAAGAAGGGGUGUGCUGGGAAGAGGAGUUAGUGGUGAGAGUGCUCGAUCUGGAACAGGACAAGCUUGGGCUGCACCGGUGUGUUUGCUGCUACUGAAUUUUUCCAGGGCAUUGCAGAUGUGGAGGAGUUUUUCCAGGGCUAUCUGCCUGUUCCCGGCCGCGCUGGUGUCAACUACCUCGAGCCACUAUGGCCACCCCCAACCACGCUCACCCCCCGGAACAAUAAACAAUUCUAGAGGGAAAGCACCCGACCUGUGAAACCUAGCGCCGCUAGUUUCCCUGCCCCGUCUUGCCGUCACCGGAGGGGCCGAUCGACGAAGCUUGGCUGGCUCCCGGGAUGGCGGCGGCGGGGCACUUUUCGGGCUUGUGCGCGGCGCAGGUGAGCGCGGCGUUGGCCGCUAGAUUGAGCGUAGUUCCCCACGUGGGCUGCUCGAUCUGGCGGCGGCGGCUGCUCAAUGGAGAUUGUGAUUGUUCGUAGUAGAAUGUAUGCACGAGACAUGAAUCUUGGAUUUUAUAUUGUUUUCCUCGAUGCUUGGGCUUCCUCGAACUUUUUGUAUAUUGCACACAACACAACACAUAAAUUCAUGGAUACUAAAUUUUUAAAUGAUUUGAAAUCAUGUUGUUUUCUAUUCUACUGCCAUUGGUUCAUCACUCUGAACCAAAAUCAAUUGUUGGAACUCUGGCAUAUAUUGGUCCUAAAGUUGUGCUAAAGAAAGAAUAUGACGCAAGCUAUGAUCCAGCCUAUUUGUGAUUUAAACGGUCUGCUGCAUACUCUGCCAUCUGCUGCAUACUUAAUUAUGUUUGCUCGGCCAUAAAAGCCUUACUUGAUUUCUGGAUCUUCCAUUCACCUUCCGUUGCCAUGAGUGGUGAAUGGUCUUGAGGAGUAAUCAUUUAGAUAAUGUAUGUAUUUUGCUCAAGCACUAAUAUUAUGUCUUUGAAUGGCCUAUGCGUGGAUGUGGGAUAACCCUUUCUGUGAUGUUGGUUGGUGCUUACCCUCUCGAGGAUCCAGAAGAUCCAAAAAAACGAAAUUCAGGUAUGUUGCCAGUUGCUAAGUUUAUCAAUUCAAAAGUUGUAUGUUCUAGCCAAAAAACUAAAUAGUGAGCUCAAAUGCAGAAAGUAUUGGGUGUUCAGUAUUGGAUUUUAGGCUAUGUUCAUAUCUCUAGAGUGCCGAGACCUUAUCUCAGGGAUGUUUUUUGGUAACACGAUCUCGACAUCGAUAACAGCAGAGAGAUAAUAUACGCGUUAUAAUCUUGUAAUUAUAUGUGGAGAAGUAGUUGUGGUGUUCCUUCCACCUUUAUGAAUUAGUCUGUGAAGAGGUGAAUAGUCAGGAGCCCCAUGGAGCCAAACAAAGAUUAUGUUUAGGCUACAGAUUAUAUUCAUACUACAGCUUGAGUCUGAAUUUGUGUCGAUACAUGAAAAAUGUCAUGUGUGCCAAGAAAAGUAUGUUUAGAUGCACAACCAAUUUUGGUGUGCAUUUCUUAUUUAUUUAUUUUUGAGUUGGACGUGUGCAUUUCUAAUUAGAAGUAGAAGAAGAAAGAUGUGACAUGGACUUCCUAAGAUUACAUACACAUCGUUGAAUAGUACAGUUAGAAAAAUAGUAAUAAAAUUCAAAAAUCUUACUUAUUUUGGCGUCAAAUAUGCUGGAGUGUGAUAGCUGUGCGUAGGAUUUCGUGAAGGAAUAACAUAAAUGGUGGUCUGGACAAACGAAAAUUGACUAUUUUUAAAGCUUCUUGGAGCAUUCAUUUUGUUUAAUUUUGUACAAAGCAUCACAACUAUUUUUUUCUUCAUCAAAUUUUGCACACAACCAAAAAAAUGUAAUUUUGUUGGGGAGGAGGAUUGCACAUCUCACGGAAGAUAAAGAUAUCAAUAUGGUUAGACACGAGACCUACUCCUGCACAGUUCAAUCUCAACAUGCAUCUUGUUGUUCCGUGCAGCGCACGGACAUCUUACUAGUAAGUAAAUAAAAGUGUGACGAUCAUCAUUAUUAGAGCAUUGCCCCAUUGAGGAAAGGAUGAUGGAGACUAUGAUUCCCCCACAAGUCGGGAUGAGACUUCGGACGAAAAAU
This is a long non-coding RNA of Triticum aestivum (bread wheat), 2633 nucleotides long. RefSeq lists it as uncharacterized. NCBI's taxonomy places the organism in Eukaryota, Viridiplantae, Streptophyta, Magnoliopsida, Poales, Poaceae. The record is from RefSeq and is a predicted model, not a curated record. The transcript has 2 exons.